GCAGAUGUGGCGGAAUUGGCAGACGCGCUAGAUUCAGGUUCUAGUGAAAGCUUUUUUCAUAUGGGUUCAAGUCCCUUCAUCUGCACCA
This 88-nucleotide transfer RNA is filed under the name Clostridia bacterium. RNAcentral's name for it is "tRNA-Leu". It matches the Rfam family "tRNA". From Rfam's summary of the family: Transfer RNA (tRNA) molecules are approximately 80 nucleotides in length. Their secondary structure includes four short double-helical elements and three loops (D, anti-codon, and T loops). Further hydrogen bonds mediate the characteristic L-shaped molecular structure. tRNAs have two regions of fundamental functional importance: the anti-codon, which is responsible for specific mRNA codon recognition, and the 3' end, to which the tRNAs corresponding amino acid is attached (by aminoacyl-tRNA synthetases). tRNAs cope with the degeneracy of the genetic code in two manners: having more than one tRNA (with a specific anti-codon) for a particular amino acid; and 'wobble' base-pairing, i.e. permitting non-standard base-pairing at the 3rd anti-codon position. Lineage: Bacteria; Bacillati; Bacillota; Clostridia. The record is from RNAcentral.